CAUGUUCUCAGUGACCUUCCUCCUCCUUGGAAUGCCUUUCACCCUAAGAGGAAGUGGAGCCCAGUCAGUGGCCCAGCCUGACCGUCACGUCACUGUCUCUGAAGGAGCCCCCGUGCUGCUGAGGUGCAACUAUACCUAUGGUGCAACACCUUCUCUCUUCUGGUACUUCCAGCCACCUGGCCAAGGCCUCCAGCUUCUCCUCAAGUACAUGGCAGGGCCAUCCCUGGUUACAGGAAUCAGAGAUUUCAAAGCUGAGUUUAAGAAGAGUGAAACCUCCUUUCACCUGGAGAAAGCCUCAGCCCAGGGGAAUGAUGCAGCCAUGUACUUCUGUGCUGUGAGUGGCACAGUGCCUGAGACUGCAGGGGGAGCCUAA
This is a non-coding RNA of Fukomys damarensis (Damara mole-rat), 373 nucleotides long. The record is from the annotation of a RefSeq genome assembly. Lineage: Eukaryota; Metazoa; Chordata; Mammalia; Rodentia; Bathyergidae.